CGGUAAUACCAGCUCUCCGAGUGGUGUGGACGUUUAUUGGGCCUAAAGCAUCCGUAGCUGGCUGAACAAGUCCCCUGUUAAACCCACCGAUUUAAUCGUUGGCUUGCGGGGGAUACUGCUCGGCUAGGGGACGAGAGAGGCAGACGGUAUUCCCGGGGUAGGGGUGAAAUCCUAUAAUCCCGGGAAGACCACCAGUGGCGAAGGCUGUCGGCUAGAACGCG
This 221-nucleotide ribosomal RNA is filed under the name uncultured crenarchaeote. Its description in RNAcentral is "partial 16S ribosomal RNA". It matches the Rfam family "Archaeal small subunit ribosomal RNA", at positions 468 to 689 of the family's 1478-position model. The record is from RNAcentral. Lineage: Archaea; Thermoproteati; Thermoproteota.